UCAGUUUUAUGUAUAUAUACUAUAUAUAUAAUUUUUCAGAUUCUUUUUCAUUAUAGACUAGUACAAGAUACUGAAUAUAGUUCCCUGUGCUAUACAAUAGGUCCUUGUUUAUCUAUCUCAUAUGUAAUAGUUUGUACCCACUAAUUCCAAAAUGUCAAUUUACCACCCGCUUUCUGUCUUGGUAAUCAUAAGUUUUGUUUUUUUUUAAAAUGUCUAUGAGUCUAUCUCUGUUUUGUAAAUAAGUUCACUUGUAUCAUUUUCUUAGAUCUCACAUAUAAGUGAUAUCAUACGCUGUUUGUCUUCCUCUGUCUGACUUACUUCAUUUAGUAUAAUCAUCUCUAGGUCCAUCCAUGUUACUGCACAUGGCAAUAUUUCACUUCUUUUAUAUGGCUGAGUAAUAUUCCAGAGUAAAAAGUGAAUACUAAAAAGUUUCUUUUUAAAAACUCCCUGCAUUAUUUGUGUUAUCCUCCUCUGGCCACAGGCUGGGGAAAACCAGGACCCAGAUGAACAUUUGGGUGUACAGCAUGGAAGUCCACACUCAUCAGUGUUUCAGCCUUGCCCAAGUUCCUUCACCUUUCCCAGCCUCAGUUUCCUCUUCAGUGAAACAGAGGUAAUGAUAGGACUUCCCUCACAGGGACAAUGCGGGGACUGAAUGGCAUACCAUACGCAGAGGGUGGCAUGGUGGAGGACCCCAGAGCAGCCCUCAGCUCUGUCCUAGGAGAAAUCUUGAGUUGCCUUCCCCCGUGAAUGUGUGAAGAGCAUCCACAGACACGGGGCAGGUCCACUCUCAAGAGUCCAGCCAGGAGACCAGACCCACGUAGAGCCUCACAGGGAGAUGUGGUGAUGCUCACAGGCUGAGAUUUCUUUCCUCCCAACUCUUCUCCAAUCCACAACUGUUCUCUGGAUCUUGCAGCCCGAUUCGCUCAGCCACGGGCCCCUUCAUCUCAUAUAACAGCCUCCUUGCUCUCUUUACAUUGGUUGGUUGGUCUGUGUGAAUUUAAGUUUAUCCUCUGCCUGGUGCAAUUAAGUGUGAAAAGCCUUGAUCCUUGCCUUGGGCGAGGGGAGGUGGGGAUAUUUGUGUGGUCUGGGCACUGAGCUGGGGUUCAAUCUUGAAGUGACUCUGACAGCCAAUGCGGCGGUCCCUGACCUCAUGGCUGGGUUUCUGAGCAACUUGUGGAGGGGCUGAAGGCAUGAGGGAGGGUCGCAGAAGGAGGAGAGUGAGCAGGCAAGGCUGGAGGAUACUGGUGGAUUUGAUAACUUGGUGGAAGAGCCUGAAAGCAUGGUCCCUGAAUUAGUCAGAGGGCCCUGUUUAGAAACUGUUGCAAGAAAGAACUCUGCUCAUUGAUUUGUUAAACCUUGCUAUAUAUAUGAU
Molecule: long non-coding RNA, 1372 nt
Filed under: Camelus dromedarius (Arabian camel)
Lineage: Eukaryota; Metazoa; Chordata; Mammalia; Artiodactyla; Camelidae
Description: lncRNA (ENSCDRG00005016033.1)
Source: RNAcentral